CUGAUAGGCCACAGCUGCUGCUGGCUCUGCAGCCUUGGCAGAGUUGCAAAUAGGUUAAACGGAGAUGGGAGUUCUAGUUCUCUUUUGCUUCAGCCAGCUUCCUUUUCUGGCUAAAUUUGAAUAAACUCAAAGAAACUGGGCAAGGGGUUUACGGCUCCCCGUGGAGCUUCACAAAGGUCCACAUUGGCCAACUGUAUUCAACUGACAAGCUGAUCAUUGAGAAUCGAGACAUGCCCAGGACCUAGCAAGCCGGGGACCAGCCACCAGUGGCGGCCAGGGACCACCUUCAGCAUCCACUCUCUGUUUGAGAUGGGGGCUCCCAAAACCAGCUUACAAUAGCCUUUUGCGCUGCCUGCCCUGUGGGAGCUGAUAAACCAAGUCACAUUUGCAUUCUGUUGCAGGCUUAGUGAAAAAGGACCGCUGUCUUUCCUUGGUUCAAGUGUUAGAAUGGAGAGCUGGAGUUCGUUCAGAAUAGUGCUGUGUGUUACCGCGUCUCCCCUGCACCCCAUUCCUAUCUUGUAGCUCAUGACCGUUGUGUAUAGCAUGUCUACACUUUGUUUCUUGGUCCUUGACAAUAAAAAGAAUGAUCUCCCUGAGCCUUUGACCCCAGAUAAACCCCUCCCGAUUAGUGCAUUUUCAUUUCCCACUGAUACAAGGCCUGGAGAGGGCUGCUGGGGGCCCUCAGGGAGGGUUCAACUCUGAGACGAGAACUGCCUUGGUGAAGGCAAGUUCAAGCACCACUUGAGACUGUGGGCAGCAUGGAGUAGGGCAGGGCUACGGGGGUACACAGUGCACCCUGCAACUUAUACCUGAGCCCAGUACAACAAAGGUGAUGGGUGUGUAGGUACACACCGAGAUGAAGCACUGCGGAUCAGCAACCUCAGCCCCACCUGGGAGUUUGCUGGAAAUGCAGGCUCAAGCCCGUCCCCACACCUGGU
RNAcentral lists this small RNA (938 nucleotides) under Pongo abelii (Sumatran orangutan). RNAcentral's name for it is "processed transcript". The record is from RNAcentral. Lineage: Eukaryota; Metazoa; Chordata; Mammalia; Primates; Hominidae.